RNAcentral lists this ribosomal RNA (328 nucleotides) under Pycnococcus provasolii. RNAcentral describes it as "partial Bacterial large subunit ribosomal RNA". It matches the Rfam family "Bacterial large subunit ribosomal RNA", at positions 1509 to 1832 of the family's 2925-position model. Lineage: Eukaryota; Viridiplantae; Chlorophyta; Pseudoscourfieldiophyceae; Pseudoscourfieldiales; Pycnococcaceae. The record is from RNAcentral.
GGUGCAAGUGCGUAGGCCGAGUGAUAGGCAAAUCCGUCACUCAUACAGGCUGAGACACGAUGCGGAUAAAAAGUGGGUGAUCCUAUGCUGCCAAGAAAAGCAUCGACGCGAGGUUCAAGCCGCCCGUACCCCAAACCGACUCAGGUGGUCAGGUAGAGAAUACCAAGGAGAUCGAGAGAAUCGUGGUUAAGGAACUCGGCAAAAUGCCCCCGUAACUUCGGGAGAAGGGGGGCCUUCGACGUAUUAGGACUUGCUCCGAAGGCGUUUGGAGGCCGCAGAGACUAGUGGGUAGCGACUGUUUACUAAAAACACAGGUCCGUGCGAAGUC